Long non-coding RNA from Populus euphratica (Euphrates poplar), 1385 nucleotides. RefSeq lists it as uncharacterized. The transcript is spliced from 2 exons. The record is from RefSeq and is a predicted model, not a curated record. NCBI's taxonomy places the organism in Eukaryota, Viridiplantae, Streptophyta, Magnoliopsida, Malpighiales, Salicaceae.
UAUAUGCUUACUAUUUAUACAUGCAUCAAGAUGUGCAGAUCUAUUGCAUUUGAAAGUGAGCUAGCUAGGGGAGGCUCCCUGGAUUGGAGAACCAUCAUUGAGUGCAGCGUAGAUGAAAUCCUACAUUUUGUGCUAUUAAACUGUUACCAACCCUUUGUGGGGCAUGGCAUCAUUUCAUCAGCGCUGCAUUCAAUCAUGUUUUUCUAACUCCUCCAGGCAUGGUUUUGCGUGCAUGUAUCAAAGGGUACUUGUGAAGAAACUUUUUGUUGGAUUUUAAAGGAAAGUGCCGUUGUGGUGCGAAACAGGCAUUUGCGUGGUCUGUGGAGCUCACUAUUAAUGAUCCAUGUCUACUGUAGCUGUUCCUGUGAAGCCUAACUUUGUUUCAUUUUCUUUCGAUAUAUGUAAAAAGCACAUGGAGAGUGAAGUGAAGUAUUUUUACACCAAUUACAAUGAUCCACAGCCUCCUUCACCAUAAAAUGCACAAUUAUUCUUAUAUGUCUUUUGUGCAAACCUCAUAUUUGUCCCCCAACUAUCUAUUGAUUCUCAUCUAGGUCCCCAAACUAUCAAUUUUCUCAAUGUCUAUUAAUGAUUAAAUGUGUAAGUUGCAUAUAUGACACAAACUGUAGGUGUGGAUUGAGGAAAGUUUGGUAAAUCAUCAUGGAAAAGUGGGAGGAUUUUAAAUGGGGACCAAUUGAGAAUGCAUGAUAACUUUGCUGACCCAAUUGAUAAAAUUAAUAGUUGGGGACUACAUUGAGAGUCUGUUCAUAGCUAGGCAACUAGUUUGCAGUCUCUCUUUUUUCUGAACAUUUCUUUUCUUUGAAUGAAUCCAGUCCAGGGAGCCACAAAACCAGUUGCAGGCUUAUUUUCCAGACUGAUCAUGCAGUGCAGGCGCACUGAUCAUCAGAAUAAACACAAAUUAGAUUAACCUUUUUUUCUCUGUCAGCUGACCUACUGCUCAUCAGAAUUAACAUAAAUUAGAGAAACUUUUUCAUUUAUUUUUUCUCUGUCCUUCCCAUUUAAAAAGUUUCAAGAAGAUGCUAAGAUUGCAACAGUUUUUGAGGUUCACAAAAGAACCACCAUGUGCCAUAUCCUUGUACUGUCCCAUGUAUUGCUAGAAACUUGAAAGGCAUCUUGAAGCAUUGGAAUCAGAAAUACGAGGGCCCAAUGGUACGAGACAAGUCAAAUCUCUACAUAUUUUUAGUUCAGUUUUUGGAUGCCUGGACAAGCUUCAAGCAUGGCAUAGCAAAUGCACCUCUUCCUUUAUCCCACCACAUCUUUUCUUUUCAUUCACCCAUUUUUAGGUCCCGUGUAAGUUCUAAGCAUGAUAGAAUCUAAAAUAACGUUUAAUUACAGCUUUGAAAUAAAUAAAAAAUAAAGACAUUCAA